RNAcentral lists this long non-coding RNA (510 nucleotides) under Gossypium barbadense (sea-island cotton). RNAcentral's name for it is "long non-coding RNA (GBAR_LNC007335)". Lineage: Eukaryota; Viridiplantae; Streptophyta; Magnoliopsida; Malvales; Malvaceae. The record is from RNAcentral.
UGUUGAAAGCUGGACUGCAAUGCAACAUGGAGCCAGAAGCUUGCUACUGUCGAGACUAGCAGCUAUCGAGCUCAGCUCAUUUUGCUUGGUGCGCACGAAUGGUUUUUGAACCGAAUGAAGCAACCAACUUUGCUGUUUUGUUUUGAUGUAAUUUGGUUCGGUUCAAUUUUAGUUUGUUUGUAAUACUAGUUAAACUUAAGUUAGUGAUAAGAUCUUUUGAUGUAAUGGCUGAUUGGUCAGCUAUGUUUGAUUAUUUUUGGCUAGUGAUUAGGUUUGUGUUAGUUGGGGCAGUUAAAUACAUUAGGUAACUGUCAAUGUACAUUGUAACUCUUUUAUAUUUCAAAUUUGAAUGAAAAAUGGGGAUGUUCAGUUACAAGCUUGCUGAGUAUUCAAUUUUGAUCAAAUUUUUGCUUUGCUUUUGCUCUUUCUUUGCUUCGAUUCUUCUUGCUUCAGUCUUGCAAACACUGUGUUGUAACUUUGUUUGAUGUUUGCUGCUGCCAUUGUUCCAAC